GACGAACGCUGGCGGCGUGCUUAACACAUGCAAGUCGAACGGAAAGGCCCUGCUUUUGUGGGGUGCUCGAGUGGCGAACGGGUGAGUAACACGUGAGUAACCUGCCCUUGACUUUGGGAUAACUUCAGGAAACUGGGGCUAAUACCGGAUAGGAGCUCCUGCUGCAUGGUGGGGGUUGGUAAGUUUCGGCGGUUGGGGAUGGACUCGCGGCUUAUCAGCUUGUUGGUGGGGUAGUGGCUUACCAAGGCUUUGACGGGUAGCCGGCCUGAGAGGGUGACCGGCCACAUUGGGACUGAGAUACGGCCCAGACUCCUACGGGAGGCAGCAGUGGGGAAUAUUGCACAAUGGGCUGAAGCCUGAUGCAGCAACGCCGCGUGCGGGAUGACGGCCUUCGGGUUGUAAACCGCUUUCGCCUGUGACGAAGCGUGAGUGACGGUAAUGGGUAAAGAAGCACCGGCUAACUACGUG
RNAcentral lists this ribosomal RNA (468 nucleotides) under uncultured bacterium. Its description in RNAcentral is "partial 16S ribosomal RNA". It matches the Rfam family "Bacterial small subunit ribosomal RNA", at positions 28 to 507 of the family's 1533-position model. The record is from RNAcentral.